Myodes glareolus (Bank vole) is the source of this 465-nucleotide long non-coding RNA. RefSeq lists it as uncharacterized. NCBI's taxonomy places the organism in Eukaryota, Metazoa, Chordata, Mammalia, Rodentia, Cricetidae. The record is from RefSeq and is a predicted model, not a curated record.
ACAGCCUAAAUUCUUUGCGGCAGAGCUACACACAUGGACAGUCGCUCAGGAAGGGUUACUCGGAAUGGCACACGUGAAAUAAAUGCUCAGAGCUGGAGAAAUCUUCCAAUAGUUACAAAACAGAAGAGGUACAAGGACUUUAUUGGGAUGACAUGGGCUGAUCAUUCCUAAAGUCAUCAUUCCAUCCCUCAAGAAAAUGAUACUUCCUAAUUAUGUCUAAUGGCACACACCUUCCAAGGCUAAGCCUUCAAACAGAUGAGCCUCAAUGACUCCAGCUGUCUCCUCACUCCAUUCUGCCAAAACCCGGAAGGUGCGACAGGUGCGGAGACAACAGCCGCCAGCCGUGGUGUCCAAGCGGACUGAGUGUGAGGACAGCCAGCUCAGGGCAGUGCAGAGCAGGGAAGGGAGAGCCUGCUACAGGUUGCAGUGAUUGGCUUCAGCAGCUGCUUCCCAGCUUUGCCUCCA